UCCCUGGCAGUCCAGUGGUUAAGACUCUGUACUUCCACUGCAGCGGGCAUGGGUUUGAUCCCUAGUUGGGGAA
Molecule: transfer RNA, 73 nt
Filed under: Ovis aries (sheep)
Lineage: Eukaryota; Metazoa; Chordata; Mammalia; Artiodactyla; Bovidae
Rfam family: tRNA
About the family: Transfer RNA (tRNA) molecules are approximately 80 nucleotides in length. Their secondary structure includes four short double-helical elements and three loops (D, anti-codon, and T loops).
Source: Rfam by way of RNAcentral